RNAcentral lists this long non-coding RNA (2596 nucleotides) under Homo sapiens (human). RNAcentral's name for it is "HSALNT0248794". Lineage: Eukaryota; Metazoa; Chordata; Mammalia; Primates; Hominidae. The record is from RNAcentral.
GGUUUCACCGUGUUAGCCAGGAUGGUGUCGAUCUCCUGACCUCCUGAUCCGCCUGCCCAAAGUGCUGGGAUUACAGGUGUGAGCCACCGCCCCUGGCCUUUUUUUUUUUUUUUUUUUUUUUUUGAGACAGAGUCUUGCUCAGUCGCGCAGGUUGAAGUGCAAUGGCGAGAUCUCGGCUCACUGCAACCUCCGCCCCCCAAGUUCAAACGGUUCCCCUUUUGAAGAGAGCAAUUCAGAGGGCCAUUAACUAUAUAAGCACAAGAAAAGUCCAAAGAUCCUGGAGCUACCUAGGGAACAGAGCUCCAAAGAAAGCCUCCUGCGUGGAAGCUUCCCUGAGGAAGAGCUGAUAACACCUUAAACCUCCUCUGGAUUCAAGUUAAAGAGGAGCAAAGGUGAUUGGAUUGACUGCAGAGACUAUGACACCUCGCCAUUUCCUCUUGUCCAUAAACAGACACAGAAUUGCAAGAACUUUUACGGCCAAAGGUUAAUCAUAGAAAGGGAUUGGUUUCCAUCUCCAAGAAACAAAUCCGUACCAGAAAUCUGAUGACAUGUUCCUGGAUGGACCAUAAAAACCAUUUUCCUAAAUAACAUCAGCUGACUCUCUGGAUUCUAUCUUUGGGACUAUCCUCAAAUUCAUUAGGGAAAUCAUUAUAUUGAAUCAGUUUAAUUUUACCAGGGUAUCACACCAUUUGCAAAGCUAUGUCAUACAAUCACAUAGUCAGUAUGGAUGAAAAUACUAUUAAUUAGAGAUAAGCAUUUGUCCAAGAACUUGCUGUAAUAGGAUCUUGUGGGGAUUUAUCAAAUCUUGUGAGGAUUUAUCGUAGUCCUUUGCCAAUCAGAAACACAAAAUAGAUUUAGAUGUAAAAAUGGAGUUCUCCAUCUUACAGGAAUAGGUCCUUGUGACUUUUUCUUUCUAAGAAAAAAAAUGAGCUCAUUUCAUUAUUCUCACCCUCCUCUCCUGUUUAAAGAAAUCUGAUCUGGUAGGAAAUAACAAGCAAUGAGCCUUAAAUUUUAGUAUUAUCUUUUUAAGAGUUUCUUAAAAUUGCCUUUUGAAAGUAGUUCAGGCUUAGGCCCAAAAAUAAUUAUACUUAGGUCAUAAAAACAGAAUUUCUAAUAUGCAAAAUUCUUUUAGAAAAUCUUUUAAAACAUAAUAACCAUGUAAACCUUACUCUCCAUUUCUUUAUGAAGAAUGGAAAUUAAACAUGAUAAAAUAAUCUAAUUUUGGCCAGGCACAAUGGUGUUUGCCUGUAAUCCCAGUGCUUUGGGAGGCUAAUGUGGGAGGAUCACUUGAGCCCAGGAGUUCAAGACAGCCUGGGCAACACAGCAAGACCCUGUCUCUACAAAAUAUUUAAAAAUUAGCCUGGCAUGCUGGUGCAUGCCUGUAAUCCCAGCUACUCAGGAGGCUGAGGCAGGAGGACUGCUUGAGCCUAGGAGUUCAAGGUUACAGUGAGCUAUGAUAGUGCCACUGCACUCAUGCCUGGGCAACAGUAUGGCCCUAUCUCUUAAAAAAAAAAAAUCGAAUUUCUUCACAAUCAACUUUUGAAUGACUUCUUAAAUGACAAAAUAGGCUGGGUGCAACGGCUCAUGCCUUAAUCCCAACACUUUGGGAAGCUGAGGCAGGAGAAUUGCUUGAGGAUAGGAGUUUGAGAGCAGCCUGGGCAACAGAGGAAGACCCCAUCUCUACAAAAAAUACAGAAAUUAGCCAGGUUUGGUGGUGCAUGCCUGUAGUCCCAGCUACUUGGGAGGCUGAGGUGGGAGGAUCACUUGAGCCCAGGAGGUCAAGGCUACAGUGAGUCAUGAUCUUGCACUCCAGCCUGGGUGACAGAACGAGACCUUGUAUCAAAAAAAAUUAAAAUAAAAUAAGUGACAAAAUAUAUUUAUCUUAUAGCUUAAUAUAUUUGUGUUUCCUAAUGGAAAAGUUGUAAGAUAAAGUCCCACAGGAAUGAAUUCUAGAACGGCUCUAUAAUUAUAAUUUAUGUAAACUACACACUUGUAUAUUAUAGCUUUACAAAUCAUGUUACACUCUAGUAAAACUAAUCUAAUAAAGUAAUUUCCUCAGUGUGCCCCCAGACAAAGCUCAGAGAAACAUGUGGCUUAGCCAAAGGUAGGUAUGUGGUAGAUCCCAGCCCAGAAUGCAAGUGUCCUAAUCCAGUGCUCUUUUUUGGCCAUCAUGAUGUUCCUACUCUCUGCUAGAUUAGCUCUUGCCAUCUCACCAUGUUCCUGAAGCCCUCCUCUAAGUGUUGAGCCUCUGGACCUCCCUAGUCUGGGUUCUCUGACAUAACCCCUCACAUCCCACCUGGCCUCCCUUAGCCCAUCCUUCCUUGAUCAUUCUUCCUUGCCCUCUGCUAAUAAGGCCACGCUAACAUAUAUCUGACUUGUUUUCUCCAUCAAAAAUCUACAUCCCCUUCCCUUAACCGUAGAACUAGAUAUUCUCUGCCUACCAAGGUUACAGUUAUCUUGCCUAAUAAAUUCAUCUGUCUAUGCCACGCUUGUCCAACCCAUGGCCAGUGAACCACAUGAGGCCCAGGAUGGCUUUGAAUGUGGCCCAACACAAAUUUGUGAACUUUCUCAACACACUAAGAGUUUUUUUGCAAUU